CCUACGGGUGGCAGCAGUGGGGAAUAUUGCACAAUGGGGGAAACCCUGAUGCAGCGACGCCGCGUGAGUGAAGAAGUAUUUCGGUAUGUAAAGCUCUAUCAGCAGGGAAGAUAAUGACGGUACCUGACUAAGAAGCCCCGGCUAACUACGGGCCAGCAGCCGCGGUAAUACGUAGGGGGCAAGCGUUAUCCGGAUUUACUGGGUGGAAAGGGUGCGUAGGUGGCAGGGAAAGUCAGAUGUGAAAGCACGGGGUGAAACCCCGGUACUGCAUUUGAAACUGUCCAGCUGGAGUGCAGGAGCGGUGAGCGGAAUGCCUAGUGAAGCGGUGAAAUGCGUAGAUAUUAGGAGGAACACCAGUGGCGAAGGCGGCUUACUGGACUGUAACUGACACUGAGGCACGAAAGCGUGGGGAGCAAACAGGAUUAGAUACCCUUGUAGUC
RNAcentral lists this ribosomal RNA (440 nucleotides) under uncultured bacterium. Its description in RNAcentral is "partial 16S ribosomal RNA". It matches the Rfam family "Bacterial small subunit ribosomal RNA", at positions 338 to 795 of the family's 1533-position model. The record is from RNAcentral.